Molecule: ribosomal RNA, 885 nt
Filed under: uncultured marine group I thaumarchaeote
Lineage: Archaea; Thermoproteati; Nitrososphaerota
Description: SSU rRNA
Rfam family: Archaeal small subunit ribosomal RNA
Source: RNAcentral
UGCCGGACCUGACUGCUAUCGGAUUGAUACUAAGCCAUGCGAGUCUUUGUAGUAAUACAAGGCAGACGGCUCAGUAACACGUAGUCAACCUACCCUAUGGACAAGAAUAAUCUCGGGAAACUGGGCAUAAUUCUUGAUAGAUCAUAAUGCCUGGAAUGGUUUAUGGUUAAAAUGAUUCGUCGCCAUAGGAUGGGACUGCGGCCUAUCAGCUUGUUGGUGAGGUAAUGGCCCACCAAGGCGAUUACAGGUACGGGCUCUGAGAGGAGAAGCCCGGAGAUGGGUACUGAGACACGGACCCAGGCCCUAUGGGGCGCAGCAGGCGAGAAAACUUUGCAAUGUGCGAAAGCACGACAAGGUUAAUCCGAGUGAUUUCUGCUAAAGAAAUCUUUUGCCAGUCAUAAAACCACUGGUGAAUAAGGGGUGGGCAAGUUCUGGUGUCAGCCGCCGCGGUAAAACCAGCACCUCAAGUGGUCAGGAUGAUUAUUGGGCCUAAAGCAUCCGUAGCCGGCUUUGUAAGUUUUCGGUUAAAUCCAUGUGCUCAACGCAUGGGCUGCCGAAAAUACUGCAUAGCUAGGGAGUGGGAGAGGUAGACGGUACUCAGUAGGUAGGGGUAAAAUCCUUUGAUCUAUUGAUGACCACCUGUGGCGAAGGCGGUCUACCAGAACACGUUCGACGGUGAGGGAUGAAAGCUGGGGGAGCAAACCGGAUUAGAUACCCGGGUAGUCCCAGCUGUAAACGAUGCAGACUAGAUGAUGCAUUGGCAUAAUAGCCAUUGCAGUGUCUCAGGGAAGCCGUUAAGUCUGCCGCCUGGGAAGUACGUACGCAAGUAUGAAACUUAAAGGAAUUGGCGGGGGAGCACCACAAGGGGUGAAGCCUGCGGUCAAU